GGGAUGAGGUAUCAAUUUAUGUUACUGGGCCAGUGAAAAUUAUAGAUCCCCAUUUAGUUUCAACAUUUUUUGAUGGAUACAAGAGGGUAUAUUUGCAUGCUACAACUGAGUUGGAAAACAAAGGUGCCUGGGUUGCUGAAUGUAAUUUGAAUAUCCAAGUAUCAUUAGAGCUUGAAGGAAGCAUUUGCUUAGUUGAGCAUCUUCAGACACAACAUGUGUCAAUCCCAGCUGGAAAAAGUGUUCAAUAUACAUUUCCUGAGCUUUUUUUUCUACAAGCCCAAUUUAUGGUCCAAAUGGUAUGGGAAAGCAAUCCAUGUAUAAUGUUAUUAUUACUGUUGAUGUGGGGGAAUAUGGGGAGUCUGACUCAUGGAGCCAUCUGUUUGGAUUCCGUAAAAUUGAGAGCUACAUUGAUAGCAGAACUGGUGGGAGGUUGUUCAAGGUCAAUGGGCAGCCUAUUUUUAUUCGUGGUGGUAAUUGGAUAUUGUCAGAUGGGUUACUGCGGCUUUCCAAAAAACGUUACAGAACAGACAUAAAGUUCCAUGCAGAUAUGAAUUUUAACAUGAUCCGGUGCUG
RNAcentral lists this unclassified non-coding RNA (573 nucleotides) under Hevea brasiliensis (rubber tree). Lineage: Eukaryota; Viridiplantae; Streptophyta; Magnoliopsida; Malpighiales; Euphorbiaceae. The record is from RNAcentral.